UGGGCGCAAGCCUGAUCCAGCAAUGCCGCGUGUGUGAAGAAGGCCUGCGGGUUGUAAAGCACUUUAAGCAGGGAGGAGGGGUACUGGCGUGAAUAGCGUUGGUAUUGACGUUACCUGCAGAAUAAGCACCGGCUAACUUCGUGCCAGCAGCCGCGGUAAUACGAAGGGUGCAAGCGUUAAUCGGAAUUACUGGGCGUAAAGCGCGUGUAGGCGGUUAUUUAAGUCAGAUGUGAAAGCCCCGGGCUCAACCUGGGAAUGGCAUUUGAUACUGGGUAACUGGAAUGUGGUAGAGGGAGGCGGAAUUUCCGGUGUAGCGGUGAAAUGCGUAGAUAUCGGAAAGAACACCAAUGGCGAAGGCAGCCUCCUGGGCCAACAUUGACGCUGAGACGCGAAAGCGUGGGGAGCAAACAGGAUUAGAUACCCUGGUAGUCCACGCCCUAAACGAUGAGAACUAGACGGUGGGGAGGUCACUCUUCGCUGUUGAAGCUAACGCGUUAAGU
This 500-nucleotide ribosomal RNA is filed under the name uncultured bacterium. RNAcentral describes it as "bacterial SSU rRNA". It matches the Rfam family "Bacterial small subunit ribosomal RNA", at positions 372 to 865 of the family's 1533-position model. The record is from RNAcentral.